Molecule: long non-coding RNA, 2454 nt
Organism: Herpailurus yagouaroundi (jaguarundi)
Lineage: Eukaryota; Metazoa; Chordata; Mammalia; Carnivora; Felidae
Exons: 3
Source: RefSeq, a predicted model, not a curated record
GCCCCCGAGUUCCGGUAGGAACCCCGGGCUCGCGUGCGCGCCCGGGCUUUGAACCGCCGUCCCGCCCCGUGCCGGGCCGCUUCCCUCCCCGCUUGGCCACCGUGGCCCGGGCAGAGGGCGCCCCGUGGAAAUAAAUAAAUAAACAAGCCCGGAGCCCAGGCAGCGUUCGCCAGGCUUUCCGCUCGGGGCAGGGGCCGAGGCCGCCCCGCUCCGCCUUCUCCGCCCCCCCAGCCCGCCGUUCUUCCGGCUUCCCGGGGGCGCACGUCAGGACCCCCGGAGGAGAGCAGAAGAGCAGGAAGAGCGGCGGCAAGAGAUGACACCGCGGGACUCGCAACGUCGGGGGCCGCGGACGCCCUUGCUGGUCCGCUUCCGCCCGCCCGAGCGGUCUCGGGCCCGGAGCCCAGGGCCCAGGCCGGGAGAAGCGGGCGCCCGCCGUCCCUCUCGGCAGGCAGCUCCGCGCGCCAUGUGGCUUGAGAAGCCUCCCGGCCGCCUAAAGCAGCCAGCAGGUCCCAUGGUGUAAUGGUUAGCACUCUGGACUUUGAAUCCAGCGAUCCGAGUUCAAAUCUCGGUGGGACCUCACCAAACCUUUUGGUUUUGCAAUUUCUGUUUUGAGGACUGCUGGCGCCGGCGGCCACCUCGGGCGGGGUCGCUACCCCCGUGACCUAGGGGAUCGCGGUUUAGGGUCCCUCCCCCUCUCGUUUCACUGCCGGCCUGAGGGUCGCAGUGCGCAUGCGUGAGAGUCCGGGCGGAAAAGUGGUGGUGGUGGUGGUGGUGGUGACCGAAUGUGCCUUUACCCUGGAGGGGACGGCGGGGAAACCCGAGGGACCCUGGGAGCCUGCUUCGGGCGGCAGCCUGUGGGUCUAGGGGGACACCCCACCCCCACCCCCCCAGCCAAAGCUGCUGGGAAUCCUUCUUCCUAUCGGCUAAUGUGCAGUGUGCGCUCAAUCACUGCUUUGUAAACCUGGAAUGAAAUGCCGGGCGGUGGCAAGGGACGCGGGAAGCAGUAACGGUCUGGGAAGUAGGGUGUGUGUUUGGGGCCAGUCCGCCUGGGAGUCGGUCACAGAGUGAAGCGGGUCUGAUUGGUUGUCUGUUACUCAGGCAGUGAAGUGGUCCGUGUUUGUUCAUCAGGCCGUGCCAGCGGGUCAGAGGAUCUCCGCCGGCGGUUUCUCCCCAUAUGGAUGGGGUGUUUCUUCCUCAGACGGUUAGAACCUCAACCAACAGGACUGAGCACGUCUGUUGGCGAAUCUGUCCAGGAUCGGUGUUUCGGGCGCCGGCCAGACGCGCGGGAUUUGCAGGAAAGGGUGUGCCUCCGGGAUGGAAGGGAAGAGACGCGCCUGGAGUGUUGUCUGCUUCGAAUUGUAUCUGGGUUUUGAGAGCUGCGGGGCCCUCUGGGAUGAGAGACGACGGGGCCCAAUGACGCAUUUGUGAUCUCCCUACAGGGUGAUUGGCACUGUGGCUGCACGUGGCCGCCCCUUGGGAGGGUGCCAUGGAAACAGAGGAUCCUUGCCCUGCUCGCUGCCCUGAGCGCCUCUCCUCCCCACCCCUCCCGCACGCUCCAUAAACGUUUGAAUGGAUUUGUGUGUAUGAGCGAUCCCGGCCUCAAAAAUACCUAGGUAUGAGAGGUGGGAGGGCUUACUCUACCAGAUAUUAAAACUUCUUAUCAUCAACUGUAAACUGUAGGAAUUAAGAUAGUGUGGUACAGGUGCAGGAGAGACCAGCAUCCCAGUGGAACAGAAUAAAGGGCCCAGAUACAGCCCCACACGUACUUGGACAAGUGAUUCAAGACAGAGGGUGCUUGAAAGCUGAGUGGAGACACUGAGGAGGAGAGUGUGACAUGAAAAGGAACAGGCCGGGGAGUAAAUGUGGACACAAAGGGUCAUCCGAACUUCAGUGGCCCGCUCUGUGCUUGGCCUCCUCGCACCUUGGUCCUUUUCAUGGCCCUUCCUUCUCCUGAGUCGCUGAUGUUCUCCAAGCUCCAUCGUUGGCCUCUUCCCAUCCUGCCCCACGCAGCCAUCCCGCACGGACUCACCUCCUCUUUCCAUAGAAUCAGCCACCACCUCCCAGUGGUUCUCAACAGGGUACGAGGGGAGGGAGGAGAAGCCGAGGGGAAUCACCUAGAAUCAUUUGGUGAGAAGGGCGUUCCCACUGGUGACACCACCAUUCGCUCGCUCAGUCAUCCCAGAAAGAAACUUGAGGUCGUCCGUGAAAGUUACCUGGCCGUCCUGCUGGGAGUCGAGCGACCUCCAAGCCCUGAAAACGUUACCUCCCGAGUAUCAUUCCAAUUCAUCACCUCCGCUCCGUUCUUACUCCGAUCCCCCAGUUCAGGUCCUGAGCAGGUCUGCGUACCUGGAUCCCCGUGGUUCCCCUUUCUCUGGGAACUGCCCUUCUCAGAGUGGCCCAAAAAUCAGCAGGGAAAGGAAACUCCUUCCUCUCUGAUUCCUGGGGAGCAAUCAA